This 898-nucleotide long non-coding RNA is filed under the name Mus spicilegus (steppe mouse). RNAcentral's name for it is "lncRNA (ENSMSIG00000016472.1)". Lineage: Eukaryota; Metazoa; Chordata; Mammalia; Rodentia; Muridae. The record is from RNAcentral.
UCUGCUUCCAUGAGGGUUCAUGAGGACCCAUGGAAAGUGAUAUUGGAACUAUCUGGGGAGAGGUAGAAAAAAAAGAAGGGGGAAAAAGAGAAAAAAAAACCCCUCAGUGGUAAGUGAUCCACACAUUCUCAGUGAGAGCCGAGUCCCUGCUGCGAAGCUGCAAGAAGUCAGAAAAUGGGGACUGGAGAUGUAGCUCAGCUGGUAGAGUGCUUGCCCAGUAUCUACCUCAGGACUUUAUUGCUGUGAUGAAACACCAUGACCAAAGCAACUGGGGAAGGAAAGUGUUUAUUUGGCUUAUACAGGUACAUCACCAUUCACCAUCAAAGGAAAUCAGGAUAGGAACUCAAAUAGGGCAGGAACCUGGAGGCAGGAGCUGAUACAGAGACCAUGGAAGAGUGCAGUUUACUGGCUUGCUCUUUCUUGUAGAACCCUAGAAUACAAUGGCUGGAUCCUCCCCCAUCAAUCACUAAUUAAGAAAAUGCCCUAUAUGCUUGCCUACAGCUGGAACUUAUAAAGACAUUUUUUUUUAAUUGUGGCCUCCUCCUCUCAGAUGAUUUUUAGCUUCAGUCAAGUUGACAGAAAACUAUCCAGCACACCUAGAAUCCACUAAGCUCGGGAUUGGACGCCAUGUUUUGAUGGAGCUUGUUUUAAUAUGGAAGAGGGAGACUAUAGAGCCCGUGUGUCUAAUGGGGAUCCAGAUUCCCUCCGUUUAUGAGAGUGGUUUCUCAAAACUGGAGCUUCUGGGGCCUGGACAGAUAGUUCAGUUGGUUAAGAGCAUCCGCAUCCGCAGAGGACCUGGGUUCAGUUCUCAGAUUCCACGUGGAGGAAUCACCUGACCUAUGUAAGUUCAGUUCCAGGGAAUCUGACUCCCUCUGGCCUCCUCAGGCACCAGGCAUGC